UAGGGAAUCUUCCGCAAUGGGCGAAAGCCUGACGGAGCAACGCCGCGUGAGUGAUGAAGGUCUUCGGAUCGUAAAACUCUGUUAUUAGGGAAGAACAAAUGUGUAAGUAAAUAUGCACGUCUUGACGGUACCUAAUCAGAAAGCCACGGCUAACUACGUGCCAGCAGCCGCGGUAAUACGUAGGUGGCAAGCGUUAUCCGGAAUUUUUGGGCGUAAAGCGCGCGUAGGCGGUUUUUUAAGUCUGAUGGGAAAGCCCACGGCUCAACCGUGGAGGGUCAUUGGAAACUGGAAAACUUGAGUGCAGAAGAGGAAAGUGGAAUUCCAUGUGUAGCGGUGAAAUGCGCAGUGAUAUGGAGGAACACCAGUGGCGAAGGCGACUUUCUGGUCUGUAACUGACGCUGAUGUGCGAAAGCGUGGGGAUCAAACAGG
RNAcentral lists this ribosomal RNA (429 nucleotides) under Actinomycetes bacterium. RNAcentral's name for it is "Actinobacteria bacterium partial 16S ribosomal RNA". It matches the Rfam family "Bacterial small subunit ribosomal RNA", at positions 355 to 776 of the family's 1533-position model. Lineage: Bacteria; Bacillati; Actinomycetota; Actinomycetes. The record is from RNAcentral.